Molecule: long non-coding RNA, 221 nt
Filed under: Coffea arabica (coffee)
Lineage: Eukaryota; Viridiplantae; Streptophyta; Magnoliopsida; Gentianales; Rubiaceae
Description: long non-coding RNA (CARA_LNC004144)
Source: RNAcentral
UACAACUUUACAGCAAUUACUUGUUACGAGAUUUUACAAAUAGUUAAGUGCAUCUUAUAACUUGUUACUAAGCUAUUGCAUUGUUUAGGAACGGUUGUUGUGAGAACUUUUAUUACCCAUAUUUCAGACCACAUGGUCUAUUAUCCGUUUGUUUUUUGUCAUCACUGCGGGUAGGGCUGUCAACGGGCCGGGUCCGGGCCGGAAUUCAUUAUUCCGGACCC